GUGCCAGCAGCCGCGGUAAUACGGGGGUGCUAGCGUUGUUCGGAAUUACUGGGCGUAAAGCGUAUGUAGGCGGUUUGUUAAGCGGAAUGUGAAAUCCUCAGGCUCAACCUGAGAACUGCAUUCGGAACUGGCAGACUUGAGUACGGAAGAGGGAGACAGAAUUCCAGGUGGAGGGGUGAAAUCCGUAGAGAUCUGGAAGAAUACCGGUGGCGAAGGCGGUCUCCUGGUACGUUACUAACGCUGAGAUACGAAAGCGUGGGGAGCAAACAGGAUUAGAUACCCUGGUAGUCCACGCCCUAAACGAUGGAUACUGGAUAUUGGAAAGAUCUCUUUUCAGUAUCGAAGCUAACGCGUUAAGUAUCCCGCCUGGGGAGUACGAUCGCAAGAUUAAACUUAAGGAAUUGACGG
RNAcentral lists this ribosomal RNA (408 nucleotides) under uncultured bacterium. RNAcentral describes it as "bacterial SSU rRNA". It matches the Rfam family "Bacterial small subunit ribosomal RNA", at positions 505 to 916 of the family's 1533-position model. The record is from RNAcentral.